RNAcentral lists this ribosomal RNA (253 nucleotides) under uncultured bacterium. RNAcentral describes it as "partial 16S ribosomal RNA". It matches the Rfam family "Bacterial small subunit ribosomal RNA", at positions 524 to 776 of the family's 1533-position model. The record is from RNAcentral.
UACGGAGGAUGCAAGCGUUAUCCGGAAUGAUUGGGCGUAAAGCGUCCGCAGGUGGCAGUUCAAGUCUGCUGUCAAAGACCGGGGCUUAACUUCGGAAAGGCAGUGGAAACUGAACAGCUAGAGUAUGGUAGGGGCAGAGGGAAUUCCUGGUGUAGCGGUGAAAUGCGUAGAGAUCAGGAAGAACAUCGGUGGCGAAGGCGGCAUCCUGGACCGGUAUUGACGCUGAGGCGCGAAAGCUAGGGGAGCAAACGGG